AAGCGUCCCUGUCUGUUUCUUCCCUGCCCUGCCCCCAACGCAGGUGUGAAUCAGCCCAGGUGAGGAAACUGACUCACCUUCCCACCUGGGCCUGGAGAAAGGGCCACUUUCCCUUCCCCGGGGUUGGAAUCAAACUUGAACUUGACUGUUAACUUCCAGAAGAGAGUGACUCUGACGCGUUGGCGGCGGGUGGGGGCGGCUACAAUGCAAAGACUUGGGGAUGUCAGGUCCUUGGAGGAAGACACCAAGUGCCGGGCUCAUGGCAUCCACUUGGCAGACAUGACCUUAGAAGAUCCUCGAGCCACCUGUCGGGCACACCGGGAGCGGCCCGAAUCUUUGCGUCCUCGCCGCAAGGCUCCGAGGACCGUCUGAACCAGUGUGGGUUCUGACUCCUCUACCCCUUCGCCAGCCCGAGCCUCGGUUUCCCUCAUCUGCCUGCCUGUCCUGCCUGCCUCCCAGGGUGAACUGAGCUGAAGGAUUCUCUAGUGGAAACACUGGGGGCAGCUGGUGGGUGUGGAGGAGACUUGGGGGCAGGGUUCUUGCCGAGAAGCAGUAGGACAGGGCACAGGACUCCUAACUCAGGGAGUGACUUUGGCCAAAUCCUUUCUUCUCUCUCAGCCUCAGUUUCCCCAUCUAUAAAACAAUACGGCCUCAGCGAAUGCCCAGGACCUUGGGGGGACCUCUAAUGGUCCACGUGUGACUCUGCCGUCCUUCAUUCGACGAGCCCUCGCUGAUGGACAUAAGGUCGUUUCCAGCUUUUCUCCAUCAGACACAAUGCCACGACGAACGUCUUUGCCCUGUCCCUUUGGCACCUGCUGGGUGGUUCCUAGAGCGUAGAAGUUGCCUUAGGAGAGUUACUGGGUCAAAAGGUAAGCUCGUUUACAGUUUGAUUGGUUUCAUCAGAUCGAGUCAACAUGUAUUAGACAUGUAGACUAUUCGGGCACCUGGGCAGCUCAGUUGGUUGAGCAUCCGACUUCAGCUCAGGUCAUGAUCUCACGGUUCGUGAG
This is a long non-coding RNA of Herpailurus yagouaroundi (jaguarundi), 1007 nucleotides long. RefSeq lists it as uncharacterized. The record is from RefSeq and is a predicted model, not a curated record. The transcript is spliced from 3 exons. Lineage: Eukaryota; Metazoa; Chordata; Mammalia; Carnivora; Felidae.